UUUUUUUGUUUUUUUUGACAACUAGUUAUUUCUGACAAUAAGAUUUCGAAUAUUUUUUUUAAAAUAUAUUGUUUUUAUUUUAAAAUACGCAUUUUAUUGAAAUCACACUAUUGUGUCAUUUUUAGAUAUGUUAAACAGGGUUUUAUUCAUUAAUAUCACCCGGUGCUUUUUUGUUAAUG
Drosophila albomicans is the source of this 179-nucleotide long non-coding RNA. RefSeq lists it as uncharacterized. The transcript has 2 exons. Lineage: Eukaryota; Metazoa; Arthropoda; Insecta; Diptera; Drosophilidae. The record is from RefSeq and is a predicted model, not a curated record.